UACGUAGGGCGCAAGCGUUGUCCGGAAUUAUUGGGCGUAAAGAGCUCGUAGGCGGCCUGUUACGUCUGCUGUGAAAUCCCGGGGCUUAACCCCGGGCGUGCAGUGGAUACGGGCAGGCUGGAGGCAGGCAGGGGAGAACGGAAUUCCCGGUGUAGCGGUGAAAUGCGCAGAUAUCAGGAGGAACACCGGUGGCGAAGGCGGGUCUCUGGGCCGAUACUGACGCUGAGGAGCGAAAGCGUGGGGAGCGAACAGG
Molecule: ribosomal RNA, 253 nt
Filed under: uncultured bacterium
Lineage: Bacteria
Description: partial 16S ribosomal RNA
Rfam family: Bacterial small subunit ribosomal RNA
Source: RNAcentral